UGAGUGAGUGGCGAACUGGUGAGUAACACGUGGGAAACCUGCCCAGAAGCGGGGGAUAACACCUGGAAACAGAUGCUAAUACCGCAUAACAACUUGGACCGCAUGGUCCGAGCUUGAAAGAUGGCUUCGGCUAUCACUUUUGGAUGGUCCCGCGGCGUAUUAGCUAGAUGGUGGGGUAACGGCUCACCAUGGCAAUGAUACGUAGCCGACCUGAGAGGGUAAUCGGCCACAUUGGGACUGAGACACGGCCCAAACUCCUACGGGAGGCAGCAGUAGGGAAUCUUCCACAAUGGACGAAAGUCUGAUGGAGCAACGCCGCGUGAGUGAAGAAGGGUUUCGGCUCGUAAAACUCUGUUGUUAAAGAAGAACAUAUCUGAGAGUAACUGUUCAGGUAUUGACGGUAUUUAACCAGAAAGCCACGGCUAACUACGUGCCAGCAGCCGCGGUAAUACGUAGGUGGCAAGCGUUGUCCGGAUUUAUUGGGCGUAAAGCGAGCGCAGGCGGUUUUUUAAGUCUGAUGUGAAAGCCUUCGGCUCAACCGAAGAAGUGCAUCGGAAACUGGGAAACUUGAGUGCAGAAGAGGACAGUGGAACUCCAUGUGUAGCGGUGAAAUGCGUAGAUAUAUGGAAGAACACCAGUGGCGAAGGCGGCUGUCUGGUCUGUAACUGACGCUGAGGCUCGAAAGUAUGGGUAGCAAACAGGAUUAGAUACCCUGGUAGUCCAUACCGUAAACGAUGAAUGCUAAGUGUUGGAGGGUUUCCGCCCUUCAGUGCUGCAGCUAACGCAUUAAGCAUUCCGCCUGGGGAGUACGGCCGCAAGGCUGAAACUCAAAGGAAUUGACGGGGGCCCGCACAAGCGGUGGAGCAUGUGGUUUAAUUCGAAGCUACGCGAAGAACCUUACCAGGUCUUGACAUACUAUGCAAAUCUAAGAGAUUAGACGUUCCCUUCGGGG
This 952-nucleotide ribosomal RNA is filed under the name Lactiplantibacillus plantarum. RNAcentral's name for it is "bacterial SSU rRNA". It matches the Rfam family "Bacterial small subunit ribosomal RNA", at positions 88 to 1025 of the family's 1533-position model. The record is from RNAcentral. Lineage: Bacteria; Bacillati; Bacillota; Bacilli; Lactobacillales; Lactobacillaceae.